RNAcentral lists this long non-coding RNA (2749 nucleotides) under Lactuca sativa (garden lettuce). RNAcentral describes it as "long non-coding RNA (LSAT_LNC001563)". Lineage: Eukaryota; Viridiplantae; Streptophyta; Magnoliopsida; Asterales; Asteraceae. The record is from RNAcentral.
AAAAAGUCAGGAAUGUUUCAAACCUCCGAGAGAAUCAGUCCACAUAUAUUUUUGUGUUGUUUGACUUAGUUCCUUAAAAUCCCCAGCAUCUCGGCUUUUGACCUGGCAUUCUCAUUUGAAUUCCGAUGAGGUACCAACCCCCCUUAUAUUUUACGAUACUUCACCACUAUCACCAUCACUCCAAAACCCUAGAUCUCAUAUGCAAUGCCACAAUCGCCGCCCUCAUCCACAGUCAACACCAGAACUGUUGCACACCGUCCCCACCAUACGCCACCACCAUCGCACGCUUCUCUCCACGAAUCAUAAAAACCUUGAAUUUGAACUUUUUCACCCCUGCUUACCACCAAAGAUAUAUUCAACGUCUCUCUCUCUCUCUCUCUCUCUCUCUCUCUCUCUCUCUCUCUCUCGGUAUUGUUGUUUCUUCUUCUCGAUUUCAGGUAUAACAUCGAUGUACCUGGUAUGAUUUUGUUUUCAUUUGUAGGGUUAUUGGAUCACACUUUAAAGAGUUAGUCUGCCUCUUGUAUAUAUUAGCCAUAAAACACACAGAAAUACAAUGGCAGGUCUCAUUGUACUCAUAUACACAAACAUGAACAAAUAACGGUUGAUUUCUGGUUCUUUUUUUUUUUUCGGUAUUUAUGGAACAUGGGUCUUUCUAGAAAUCCUUGUUGUCGACCUUACAAGGACAAAGCAGUUUAACUAAAGAGGAACAAACUCUGAGUUUUUUGUGUUGAACUUUUGAUAGGUUUAAAUGGAGAAGAAAAGGGAACCAGAGAUGCCUACUGAUUGUAAUUAGUUUUUCGUUUCCUCUGCAGCAAAACCCAGAUCUAAAAGGUGGGUUUUGUUUUGAAAAGGUUACUUUCAUCCUCUUAUUCCAUUUGAUUUGGGUUUUAUUUUGGUUUUUUAAUUUUUAAUUGAUGAGAAAUGAUUGUUUUUGCUAUUAAUGUGCCUUUAACAGCCACUUGUUUCUUGCAGGUUUUGGUAUGAUUAGAAGACAUUAAUCACAAAAAAAGGAAGAUGCUUGAGGUAAGUUUUUAAGGACUUAGUAAUCUUGAUUAUUCUUCUCAUUGUUUAUUUAUUCUGGCAUUUUCAAGCUUUUCAUUUGUCUUUUUCAAGCUUUUAAGGCCAUCUUUGGUACUCAGCUUCUCUGCUAAUCGAGGUGUCUUUCUAUAGGUAUAUGUGUUCAUUAAUAAAUCUAGGAAAAAGAUCUCGAUGUUCAAUCUGGUCGGCAUCCAGCUUAAAUUAUUUGACUUAUUUUUUUGAAUUUCCUUUCCCCCUUCCCCUAUGUUUCAGGUACAUUGAUUUAUAUUUUCUGAUUUACUUUUUUAAUCGUUUUUUUUCCAUUAUUGAUUUUUGAUUUACAUGUGGUUUUUUAUUCUGAUUAAAAUAAAUACAGUUUGUGGGUCUAUGUUUAAUUGUAUGUAUGUAUGUGUGUGUUUUUAUAGGAACAAUGUCUCAGGCCAUAAAAUGAAGGUACUUAAAGCAAAAUGUGUAGGUGCGGUUAAUUUCACCUGUUCUACGAUCAGACAUACACAUAUUUGUUAAGGAUUUGUUUUUAAUUUUCCAGGUUUUCGAUUUUGACUAACUGUUCAACAAUUGUAAUACAUGUUUGACAAUUUUUUUGUUCUUGAUUUGCAGGUUUUAACUGAAACCUAUUGGAUCCAUAACAAUAACAUUCCGUAGGUAAGUAUCGUACAUGAAUUUAUGUAGUGUGCUGCUAAAAAACUCAAUAAUUUGUCUUUUUGUUUGACAUUUUUGAGAUUUUUGUUUGGUAAGUCACGAUAAAGUAUUUAUUAGCUUAUUAGAUGUCAUUUUAUUUUUAACCUAUUGGAAGCUAUUGAUCUUGAGCUUUUUUUUUGUAGCAAAAGGUUAAAAUUUGUAGGCAAGGCAGGUAUUGAAAGUAACUUUCAUGGUGACAUUAUGCAUUUAUUUUUAUCACAUUUUUGUAUUUUUCAAGAAAAAAAGUUUCAAUUUUGACAAAAGUUCUAUGUUUUAAUUUGGUGGGUUUAUAAACAAACCAACAACAAAUGGUGUUGCUAUGACAUCCAUCAUUCAUUUGAUCUGCAAUAUGCUUAUUACACUUUUGGUACAAUAUUAGACAUAUUUGGUAUAAUUAUUCUUGACAAGAUCAUUUAAUGAUGUUUGAGCUAAUCCUUGUCUCCUUGGUACUUCCAGGUAUGAUUCAAGUUCCCCAUAUGUUAAGGUUUAAUACAAGAAAUUAUAGUAUACUUUUAUUUUAUUAAAUAUAAUAAUGUACUUCAUUUUUUUUGGAUUGAUUUUCAAGAGUACAAAUGUACAAUGUCUUAUUCAAAUGGAAGUGAAUUUUUUGAUAAGUGGAAGUAAGUUGUUUUAUCUAGCCAUCAACAAUUUUUGUACUUGAUGCUUUGCAUUUAGCCAUUUUUGGAUCAAAUGCCAGAAAUAGCUACAUUUUUGUCAAAUAUAACAAUUAAUAUACUUUCAUUUUUGUUUUUAUAGAUUUUCCAAAUUUUUCCAAAAUAGAAUGUCUGAGGUAAAUGAAAGUAAAUUUCUUGAGUUGUGUGUGUUGUUGUUGCUAUGUGUGUAUGUGUACUAUAUGAGAGUGUGUUUUGUGUGUAUGUGGUUGUGUAUGAUUGAUGUCGUAAACAUUCAAGUAUGAUGCCAUUUUUUUGUUUUCCUUUAUCAUCACUCGCAACGAUUAAAGACUUUACAUAAUGUCAUUUUUUAGUAUGGUAUAUUAGAACAUAAACCAAACAAGCAACAUUGUCAUUUUGUU